Lolium perenne is the source of this 1696-nucleotide non-coding RNA. Lineage: Eukaryota; Viridiplantae; Streptophyta; Magnoliopsida; Poales; Poaceae. The record is from RefSeq and is a predicted model, not a curated record.
CUGCCCUCAGCCGUCGCCGCGCGCCGCCGCCGCCGCCCUGCCCUCCGCUGCGCUCAGCCGUCGCCGCCGCCGCCCCGUCAGCCGUCGCCGCCGCCGCCCUGCCCUGCCCUCCGCUGCGCUUCAGAUCACCACACGGACCAACACUGUCGCCGCCGCACUACUCCUCCUGGUUCCUCCAUCAACAAACCCUAUCCAGAUCUGCCCCUAGCUGGAAUUCGCGUUGUUGCGCGGAGGGGAAAUAAAUGGCAGUUUUCUCUCGCAUGGAUCAACGCCCGGGUUGUCGACCCCAUGAUGCCCGUGGUCUGAGAAAACUGGUCUUCUCUGCCGCGCUCAGCCUCACCAUCAACAUCAUCCCGAUCUGUGGUAUGGGGGUGCUGUCGAUUGUGUCUCCAUACAGUGGCAUACCCAGAAUUUUUUUAGAGCCUGGGUACAAAGUCUCGUCUAGCGAGCAAGACAAAGAGAAGGACAGAUCGACUUGAAUCAAUUUCAUCUCUGUCUAGAUUCCUCAAUGUGAGCAGUCGUCAAGUAUAGGCUAUGGAACAAUUGUGGACCAAUUGUUGCUGCUAGGGAACAGCCGAACAGGUCCAAGUUCACCCAUUUAAAGUCACAGACAAGACUACUAUGUAAGUAGAGAGCUUGCUCGAGUCAGAACAUUAGCCAUAAAAGACCCAGUUAUAUAUGUCGCCAGGGACCGCAACCUAGAUAAGUGUGAAACCGCUGCAAAAAAACCUACACCAAUUACUAUCCUAGGAGCGGUCAAAAUGUUGCAGUAAGUUCUGUUCAGGUUUGUUCUAUACUGAAUUUAUUUUUCAGCAUAGAAAGUUUUGAAUUUUAAUUCUUUUUUCUUCCAACAGUAUAUUCAUGCAAUAUCACACCUUUCCUACUUCGGAUAAGAAGAGUCAGGUAAUUUGUAUGGUAGCAUUCUUGUUGCAUCGCUGAACUGCUGGUGAGAUUCUGUAUUAUAUACCAUGUGCUUGUAGUAUGGUCGCACCAUUGAUUCUGGCUUAAAGAUUCCUGGAAGGCUCUCUGGUUAUGUUUUUUUGUUGAGGUAAUCUUGUUUAAUGGUCACACAAAAGUGUGAGAGGUAAUUGUUCCAUAUGCUCAUAUUGUGAGAUGUAUUGUUCUUCUCAUGAUUUUCCAGCAAAUUUAAAAUUGAGGCUUAGUGCUCAAAAUAACAAGAUAUUUAUUUUAGCUUGUGAUAUUAUGUGUUCUCCGGAGAAUGGAAUUAGAACUGACAUCAGAUAGACUUGUUAAAUGUUUGUACCAAACAAAAGAUGGUAUGUAACUCUACAAACUAGCAGUUCAGCAUACAUGCUUUAUAAAUAUAUUCAUAUCUGUUGCAAAAAGGAGGAACACCAUUAAACCUUCUACUGUAGUAGUCCCAAACUUAGGAGAAGGUGACAAAUAGUUUUUUACCUCGCAGGUUCACAUGCUGGGAACUACGUUGGGUGUGUUUAUCAUCAACAUUGGUCUCGAGUCGGUUCACCCAUAUUCAGAACGAAUCAACUGAUAUUUUCUCUUGUGCCUAUUUUCUCUUGUGCCUCUUCUUAUGCUGGAAUCUAGAUCCAAAGACAGUGAUUGGCAAGGAGGAUGGAACGACCCUCGCUACCUUCACAUAUCAAAAUUUCCAAGUCAACACUCAGUUAUAUCAUUAUCCAGAAGAUUAGUGAGAUUUAAGCCAAGGGUGCCACCAUCU